Molecule: ribosomal RNA, 431 nt
Filed under: uncultured bacterium
Lineage: Bacteria
Description: partial 16S ribosomal RNA
Rfam family: Bacterial small subunit ribosomal RNA
Source: RNAcentral
AACGAACGCUGGCGGCAGGCUUAACACAUGCAAGUCGAGCGCCCCGCAAGGGGCGCGGCAGACGGGUGAGUAACGCGUGGGAACGUACCUUUUGGUUCGGAACAACUCCGGGAAACUGGAGCUAAUACCGGAUAAGCCCUAACGGGGAAAGAUUUAUCGCCGAACGAUCGGCCCGCGUCUGAUUAGCUAGUUGGUGAGGUAACGGCUCACCACGGCGACGAUCAGUAGCUGGUCUGAGAGGAUGAUCAGCCACACUGGGACUGAGACACGGCCCAGACUCCUACGGGAGGCAGCAGUGGGGAAUAUUGGACAAUGGGCGCAAGCCUGAUCCAGCCAUGCCGCGUGAGUGAUGAAGGCCUUAGGGUUGUAAAGCUCUUUUGUCCGGGAAGAUAAUGACUGUACCGGAAGAAUAAGCCCCGGCUAACUUCGUG